AGUGAACGCUGGCGGUAGGCCUAACACAUGCAAGUCGAACGGAAGCACAGUAAGAGCUUGCUCUUACGGGUGGCGAGUGGCGGACGGGUGAGGAAUACAUCGGAAUCUACUUUUUCGUGGGGGAUAACGUAGGGAAACUUACGCUAAUACCGCAUACGACCUACGGGUGAAAGCAGGGGAUCUUCGCACCUUGCGCGAUUGAAUGAGCCGAUGUCGGAUUAGCUAGUUGGCGGGGUAAAGGCCCACCAAGGCGACGAUCCGUAGCUGGUCUGAGAGGAUGAUCAGCCAACACUGAACCGGAGAAAGGUCCAAACUCCUAAGGGAGGCAGCAGGUGGGAAUAUUGGACAAUGGGCGGAAGCCUGAUCCAGCCAUACCGCGUGGGUGAAGAAGGCCUUCGGGUUGUAAAACCCUUUUGUUUGGGAAGAAAAGCAGGAGGAUAAUACCCCGCUGUUCUGACGGUACCCAAAGAAGAAGCACCGGCUAACUUCGUG
This 492-nucleotide ribosomal RNA is filed under the name uncultured bacterium. RNAcentral describes it as "partial 16S ribosomal RNA". It matches the Rfam family "Bacterial small subunit ribosomal RNA", at positions 29 to 507 of the family's 1533-position model. The record is from RNAcentral.